GAUGAACGCUGGCGGCGUGCCUAAUACAUGCAAGUAGAACGCUGAAGGAGGAGCUUGCUCUUCUGGAUGAGUUGCGAACGGGUGAGUAACGCGUAGGUAACCUGCCUGGUAGCGGGGGAUAACUAUUGGAAACGAUAGCUAAUACCGCAUGACAACAGUUAUUGCAUGAUAACUGUUUAAAAGGGGCAACUGCUCCACUACCAGAUGGACCUGCGUUGUAUUAGCUAGUUGGUGAGGUAACGGCUCACCAAGGCGACGAUACAUAGCCGACCUGAGAGGGUGAUCGGCCACACUGGGACUGAGACACGGCCCAGACUCCUACGGGAGGCAGCAGGAGGGAAUCUUCGGCAAUGGACGGAAGUCUGACCGAGCAACGCCGCGUGAGGGAAGAAGGGUUUCGGAUCGUAAAGCUCUGUUGUAAGAGAAGAACGAGUGUGAGAGUGGAAAGUUCACACUGUGACGGUAUCUUACCAGAAAGGGACGGCUAACUACGUG
Molecule: ribosomal RNA, 495 nt
Filed under: uncultured bacterium
Lineage: Bacteria
Description: partial 16S ribosomal RNA
Rfam family: Bacterial small subunit ribosomal RNA
Source: RNAcentral